This 810-nucleotide ribosomal RNA is filed under the name Vibrio brasiliensis. Its description in RNAcentral is "bacterial SSU rRNA". It matches the Rfam family "Bacterial small subunit ribosomal RNA", at positions 56 to 839 of the family's 1533-position model. Lineage: Bacteria; Pseudomonadati; Pseudomonadota; Gammaproteobacteria; Vibrionales; Vibrionaceae. The record is from RNAcentral.
UGCAGUCGAGCGGAACGAGUUAACUGAACCUUCGGGGAACGUUAACGGCGUCGAGCGGCGGACGGGUGAGUAAUGCCUGGGAAAUUGCCCUGAUGUGGGGGAUAACCAUUGGAAACGAUGGCUAAUACCGCAUAAUAGCUUCGGCUCAAAGAGGGGGACCUUCGGGCCUCUCGCGUCAGGAUAUGCCCAGGUGGGAUUAGCUAGUUGGUGAGGUAAUGGCUCACCAAGGCGACGAUCCCUAGCUGGUCUGAGAGGAUGAUCAGCCACACUGGAACUGAGACACGGUCCAGACUCCUACGGGAGGCAGCAGUGGGGAAUAUUGCACAAUGGGCGCAAGCCUGAUGCAGCCAUGCCGCGUGUAUGAAGAAGGCCUUCGGGUUGUAAAGUACUUUCAGCAGUGAGGAAGGCGGAGUCGUUAAUAGCGGCCUCGUUUGACGUUAGCUGCAGAAGAAGCACCGGCUAACUCCGUGCCAGCAGCCGCGGUAAUACGGAGGGUGCGAGCGUUAAUCGGAAUUACUGGGCGUAAAGCGCAUGCAGGGGUUUGUUAAGUCAGAUGUGAAAGCCCGGGGCUCAACCUCGGAAUUGCAUUUGAAACUGGCAGACUAGAGUACUGUAGAGGGGGGUAGAAUUUCAGGUGUAGCGGUGAAAUGCGUAGAGAUCUGAAGGAAUACCGGGUGGGCGAAGGCGGCCCCCUGGACAGAUACUGACAUAUCAUAUGCGAAAGGCGUGGGGGAGCAAACAGGAUUAGAUACCCCUGGUAGUCCACGCCGUAAACGAUGUCUACUUGGGAGGUUUGUGGCCCUUGAGCCG